UGCCGGUGACAAACCGGAGGAAGGUGGGGAGUGACGUCAAGUCAUCAUGGCCCCUAUGUCCAGGGCUACACACGUGCUACAAUGGGCGAUACAGAGUGACGCGAAGCCGCGAGGUGGAGCAAAUCGCAGAAAAUCGCUCUCAGUUCGGAUUGGAGUCUGAAACCCGACUCCAUGAAGGUGGAAUCGCUAGUAAUCGCGCAUCAGCAUGGCGCGGUGAAUACGUUCCCGGGCCUU
Molecule: ribosomal RNA, 234 nt
Filed under: uncultured Spirochaetaceae bacterium
Lineage: Bacteria; Pseudomonadati; Spirochaetota; Spirochaetia; Spirochaetales; Spirochaetaceae
Description: partial 16S ribosomal RNA
Rfam family: Bacterial small subunit ribosomal RNA
Source: RNAcentral